RNAcentral lists this non-coding RNA (48 nucleotides) under Trichobilharzia regenti. Lineage: Eukaryota; Metazoa; Platyhelminthes; Trematoda; Strigeidida; Schistosomatidae. The record is from RNAcentral.
AUUCAGCCGAAGAGUCCUAAAUAGGACGAAAUGCGAAUCCUGGUGGAU